CAGCACUGUAUUGAACAUGA
Molecule: microRNA, 20 nt
Filed under: Panax ginseng (ginseng)
Lineage: Eukaryota; Viridiplantae; Streptophyta; Magnoliopsida; Apiales; Araliaceae
Description: pgi-miR6143b-3p
Source: miRBase by way of RNAcentral